UACGAAGGGGGCUAGCGUUGCUCGGAAUCACUGGGCGUAAAGCGCACGUAGGCGGCUUCUUAAGUCAGGGGUGAAAUCCUGGAGCUCAACUCCAGAACUGCCUUUGAUACUGAGUAGCUUGAGUCCGGGAGAGGUGAGUGGAACUGCGAGUGUAGAGGUGAAAUUCGUAGAUAUUCGCAAGAACACCAGUGGCGAAGGCGGCAUCCUGGACCGGCAUUGACGCUGAGGCGCGAAAGCCAGGGGAGCAAACGGG
This 253-nucleotide ribosomal RNA is filed under the name uncultured bacterium. RNAcentral describes it as "partial 16S ribosomal RNA". It matches the Rfam family "Bacterial small subunit ribosomal RNA", at positions 524 to 776 of the family's 1533-position model. The record is from RNAcentral.